GAGUGGGGAGAAGAGAGGGACAGAGAGCCUGCUUCUUUAAAGGAGCAAAGCGGGAGAGGAGAGGAGCCGCUUACACAAGUGUAAGCGGCUCCUGUCCGGUUGGUUCCUUUAAAGCAAGCAGGCUCUCUGUCCCUCUCUCCUCCCCACUC
This 149-nucleotide microRNA precursor is filed under the name Podarcis lilfordi (Lilford's wall lizard). Lineage: Eukaryota; Metazoa; Chordata; Lepidosauria; Squamata; Lacertidae. The record is from RNAcentral.